This 765-nucleotide long non-coding RNA is filed under the name Daphnia pulicaria. Its description in RNAcentral is "uncharacterized LOC124327391, transcript variant X1". The record is from RNAcentral. Lineage: Eukaryota; Metazoa; Arthropoda; Branchiopoda; Diplostraca; Daphniidae.
GGUCGGCAGCUCAAUGGUUAAGGCGCUAUCGCUUACUUCCGGUAUACUUCCGGAAAAUUUGCAUGAAAGUAGCAAGUGAACUUUGUUCUCUGUACAAUUCUAAGGAUUGAAUGCUAGAUUUUAGCUAACAAAAAUGCUUUUUUCAAGUUUUGUGAGUAUCUUAAGACUAGUCCUUCAAAUACUGAGUUUUGAGACGUGUCAAAAAUGUCAAAUAGAUGGCGUGUUCAUUGUGUUAUGGAAUGGCAGUUUGCUGUCAAAAGUUAAGCUAUCCUUUCUUUGACAAUUACCAAUGAAUUCAUAGGAGUUAACGUGAAAGGGUCGUGGCCGUAAUACAGCCUACUGCCUACCGUCAACUAUUAUGUUCAAAAUCAUAGUAUUCUACUGAAUGUGCCAUCGAAAUUAUACAGGAGUCAUAAUUAUCUGCUGUUUGUAUUGGACUUGCUAGAUCACCAACCCCAGCAUAGACCAAUCUCUCAUUUCUUUUUCUCGAGAGAAGAUCUAUGACUGAUUGGUGUUUUCAUGUGUUCUAAACUCUAAAUUUAGUCAUGUCCUUUCAAUAAAGUCAACAAGGUCCCUUGUUUACUAACCUGUUGGCUGCUACCCUUGAAUCUCCCUUUUUACUUUCUUAAGCGGGCCAUCUUUAUUUAAGGGUAUUCCUUCGCUACUUGUCAUGGACUUCAUCCACUGGUGAAAACCGACGAGAGAAUGCAGUAAUCCAAGACUGAUAAAUUGUGUAGUUAGGUUCAAUUACAAGUGCAUAUCUGG